RNAcentral lists this signal recognition particle RNA (83 nucleotides) under human gut metagenome. RNAcentral describes it as "Bacterial small signal recognition particle RNA". It matches the Rfam family "Bacterial small signal recognition particle RNA". Rfam says of the family: The signal recognition particle (SRP) is a universally conserved ribonucleoprotein involved in the co-translational targeting of proteins to membranes. The record is from RNAcentral.
AGGCCUCACGCGAUGGGACGCUGCGAACCGUGUCAGGGCAGGGAUGCAGCAGCACUAAGCAGACCGCUUUCAUGUGCCGUGAA